Molecule: ribosomal RNA, 435 nt
Filed under: uncultured soil bacterium
Lineage: Bacteria
Description: bacterial SSU rRNA
Rfam family: Bacterial small subunit ribosomal RNA
Source: RNAcentral
GUGAACGAGCGACGCCGCGUGCGGGAUGAAGGGCUUCGGCUUGUAAAGCCCUGUCGACUGGGAAGAAUGGCGGGAGGUGAAUAACCAUCUCGUCUGACGCUACCAGUAAAGGAAGCACCGGCUAAAUACGUGCCAGCAGCCGCGGUAAUACGUAUGGUGCGAACGUUGUUCGGAAUCACUGGGCAUAAAGAGCACGUAGGCGGUCGGGCAAGUCCAUUGUGAAAUCCCCCGGCUUAACCGGGGAACUGCAAUGGAUACUACUCGGCUAGAGUGCAGGAGGGGAGAGUGGAAUUCCUGGUGGAGCGGUGAAAUGCGUAGAUAUCAGGAGGAACGCCGGCGGCGAAAGCGACUCUCUGGUCUGCCACUGACGCUGAGGUGCGAAAGCUAGGGGAGCAAACGGGAUUAGAUACCCCGGUAGUCCUAGCCCUAAACGAU